This 433-nucleotide ribosomal RNA is filed under the name uncultured Coriobacteriaceae bacterium. Its description in RNAcentral is "partial 16S ribosomal RNA". It matches the Rfam family "Bacterial small subunit ribosomal RNA", at positions 341 to 792 of the family's 1533-position model. Lineage: Bacteria; Bacillati; Actinomycetota; Coriobacteriia; Coriobacteriales; Coriobacteriaceae. RNAcentral also lists the same sequence under 1 other name. The record is from RNAcentral.
ACGGGAGGCAGCAGUGGGGAAUUUUGCGCAAUGGGGGAAACCCUGACGCAGCAACGCCGCGUGCGGGACGAAGGCCUUCGGGUUGUAAACCGCUUUCAGCAGGGAAGACACUGACGGUACCUGCAGAAGAAGCUCCGGCUAACUACGUGCCAGCAGCCGCGGUAAUACGUAGGGAGCGAGCGUUAUCCGGAUUCAUUGGGCGUAAAGCGCGCGUAGGCGGCUUGGCAAGCGAGGUGUCAAAGCCCGGGGCUCAACCCCGGCCCGCACCUCGAACUGCCAGGCUUGAGUACGGUAGGGGAAGGCGGAAUUCCCAGUGUAGCGGUGAAAUGCGCAGAUAUUGGGAAGAACACCGGUGGCGAAGGCGGCCUUCUGGGCCGUUACUGACGCUGAGGCGCGAAAGCUAGGGGAGCGAACAGGAUUAGAUACCCUGGUA